RNAcentral lists this ribosomal RNA (429 nucleotides) under Chloroflexota bacterium. RNAcentral describes it as "Chloroflexi bacterium partial 16S ribosomal RNA". It matches the Rfam family "Bacterial small subunit ribosomal RNA", at positions 355 to 776 of the family's 1533-position model. The record is from RNAcentral. Lineage: Bacteria; Bacillati; Chloroflexota.
UGGGGAAUAUUGCACAAUGGGCGCAAGCCUGAUGCAGCCAUGCCGCGUGUGUGAAGAAGGCCUUCGGGUUGUAAAGUACUUUCAGCGGGGAGGAAGGGAGUAAAGUUAAUACCUUUGCUCAUUGACGUUACCCGCAGAAGAAGCACCGGCUAACUCCGUGCCAGCAGCCGCGGUAAUACGGAGGGUGCAAGCGUUAAUCGGAAUUACUGGGCGUAAAGCGCACGCAGGCGGUCUGUCAAGUCGGAUGUGAAAUCCCCGGGCUCAACCUGGGGACUGCAUUCGGAACUGGCAGGCUAGAGUCUUGUAGAGGGGGGUAGAAUUCCAGGUGUGGCGGUGAAAUGCAUAGAGAUCUGGAGGAAUACCGGUGGCGAAGGCGGCCCCCUGGACAAAGACUGACGCUCAGGUGCGAAAGCGUGGGGAGCAAACAGG